This 467-nucleotide ribosomal RNA is filed under the name uncultured bacterium. Its description in RNAcentral is "partial 16S ribosomal RNA". It matches the Rfam family "Bacterial small subunit ribosomal RNA", at positions 28 to 507 of the family's 1533-position model. The record is from RNAcentral.
GACGAACGCUGGCGGCGUGCUUAACACAUGCAAGUCGAACGGAAAGGCCCUGCUUUUGUGGGGUGCUCGAGUGGCGAACGGGUGAGUAACACGUGAGUAACCUGCCCUUGACUUUGGGAUAACUUCAGGAAACUGGGGCUAAUACCGGAUAGGAGCUCCUGCUGCAUGUGGGGGUUGGAAAGUUUCGGCGGUUGGGGAUGGACUCGCGGCUUAUCAGCUUGUUGGUGGGGUAGUGGCUUACCAAGGCUUUGACGGGUAGCCGGCCUGAGAGGGUGACCGGCCACAUUGGGACUGAGAUACGGCCCAGACUCCUACGGGAGGCAGCAGUGGGGAAUAUUGCACAAUGGGCGGAAGCCUGAUGCAGCAACGCCGCGUGCGGGAUGACGGCCUUCGGGUUGUAAACCGCUUUCGCCUGUGACGAAGCGUGAGUGACGGUAAUGGGUAAAGAAGCAUCGGCUAACUACGUG